RNAcentral lists this transfer RNA (75 nucleotides) under bacterium. RNAcentral's name for it is "tRNA-Arg". It matches the Rfam family "tRNA". Rfam says of the family: Transfer RNA (tRNA) molecules are approximately 80 nucleotides in length. Their secondary structure includes four short double-helical elements and three loops (D, anti-codon, and T loops). Further hydrogen bonds mediate the characteristic L-shaped molecular structure. tRNAs have two regions of fundamental functional importance: the anti-codon, which is responsible for specific mRNA codon recognition, and the 3' end, to which the tRNAs corresponding amino acid is attached (by aminoacyl-tRNA synthetases). tRNAs cope with the degeneracy of the genetic code in two manners: having more than one tRNA (with a specific anti-codon) for a particular amino acid; and 'wobble' base-pairing, i.e. permitting non-standard base-pairing at the 3rd anti-codon position. The record is from RNAcentral.
GCAUCCGUAGCUCAAUUGGAUUAGAGCGCUUGUCUUCGGAACAAGAGGUUGGGAGUUCAACUCUCCCCGGGUGCG